GACGAACGCUGGCGGCGUGCUUAACACAUGCAAGUCGAACGGAAAGGCCCUGCUUUUGUGGGGUGCUCGAGUGGCGAACGGGUGAGUAACACGUGAGUAACCUGCCCUUGACUUUGGGAUAACUUCAGGAAACUGGGGCUACUACCGGAUAGGAGCUCUGCUGCGUGGUGGGGGUGGGGAAGUUUCGGCGGUUGGGGAUGGACUCGCGGGUUAUCAGCUUGUUGGGGGGGUAGUGGCUUAACAAGGCUUUGACGGGUCGCCGGCCUGGGAGGGUGAACGGGCACCAUGGGACUGAGAGACGGACCAGUGUCCAACGGGAGGCAGUAGGGGGGAAUAUGACCCAAUGGGACGAAGUCUGAUGCGAAGACGCCCGGGUUGGGAAGACCGUCUUUGGGGUGUAAACCGCUUUCGCCUGUGACGAAGCGUGAGUGACGGUAAUGGGUAAAGAAGCACCGGCUAACUACGUG
RNAcentral lists this ribosomal RNA (467 nucleotides) under uncultured bacterium. Its description in RNAcentral is "partial 16S ribosomal RNA". It matches the Rfam family "Bacterial small subunit ribosomal RNA", at positions 28 to 507 of the family's 1533-position model. The record is from RNAcentral.